UGGGGAAUAUUGGACAAUGGGGGCAACCCUGAUCCAGCAAUGCCGCGUGUGUGAAGAAGGUCUUCGGAUUGUAAAGCACUUUCGACGGGGACGAUGAUGACGGUACCCGUAGAAGAAGCCCCGGCUAACUUCGUGCCAGCAGCCGCGGUAAUACGAAGGGGGCUAGCGUUGCUCGGAAUGACUGGGCGUAAAGGGCGUGUAGGCGGUUUACACAGUCAGAUGUGAAAUCCCCGGGCUUAACCUGGGAGCUGCAUUUGAUACGUGUAGACUAGAGUGUGAGAGAGGGUUGUGGAAUUCCCAGUGUAGAGGUGAAAUUCGUAGAUAUUGGGAAGAACACCGGUGGCGAAGGCGGCAACCUGGCUCAUGACUGACGCUGAGGCGCGAAAGCGUGGGGAGCAAACAGGAUUAGAUACCCUGGUAGUCCACGCUGUAAACGAUGUGUGCUAGAUGUUGGGUAACUUUGUUAUUCAGUGUCGCAGUUAACGCUGAUAAGACACCCUGGGGAGUACGGCCGCAAGGUUGAAAC
Molecule: ribosomal RNA, 526 nt
Filed under: uncultured bacterium
Lineage: Bacteria
Description: partial 16S ribosomal RNA
Rfam family: Bacterial small subunit ribosomal RNA
Source: RNAcentral